Molecule: ribosomal RNA, 1393 nt
Filed under: uncultured Bacteroidota bacterium
Lineage: Bacteria; Pseudomonadati; Bacteroidota
Description: bacterial SSU rRNA
Rfam family: Bacterial small subunit ribosomal RNA
Source: RNAcentral
UGCAGUCGAGGGGCAGCGGAUGAAGUACUUCGGUACUUUUGCCGGCGACCGGCGCACGGGUGCGUAACGCGUAUGCAACCUACCAUUAACAGGGGGAUAAUUCGGAGAAAUCUGGUCUAAUACCCCAUAACAUCAGAAUAGGCAUCUAUUUUGGUUGAAAGUUCCGGCGGUUAAUGAUGGGCAUGCGUUGUAUUAGUUAGUUGGUGAGGUAACGGCUCACCAAGACUACGAUACAUAGGGGGACUGAGAGGUUUUCCCCCCACACUGGUACUGAGACACGGACCAGACUCCUACGGGAGGCAGCAGUGAGGAAUAUUGGUCAAUGGACGCAAGUCUGAACCAGCCAUGCCGCGUGCAGGAUGACGGCUCUAUGAGUUGUAAACUGCUUUUGCAGAAGGGUAAACCUACUUACGUGUAAGUAGCUGAAAGUACUCUGCGAAUAAGGAUCGGCUAACUCCGUGCCAGCAGCCGCGGUAAUACGGAGGAUCCAAGCGUUAUCCGGAUUUAUUGGGUUUAAAGGGUGCGUAGGCGGUUUUAUAAGUUAGAGGUGAAAGCCCGUAGCUCAACUACGGAACUGCCUCUGAUACUGUAAGGCUAGAGAUUAGAUGCUGUGGGCGGAAUGUGUGGUGUAGCGGUGAAAUGCUUAGAUAUCACACAGAACACCGAUUGCGAAGGCAGCUCACAAAACUAAAUCUGACGCUGAGGCACGAAAGCGUGGGGAUCAAACAGGAUUAGAUACCCUGGUAGUCCACGCCGUAAACUAUGAUAGCUCGUUGUCGGCGAUACACAGUCGGUGACUUAGCGAAAGCGUUAAGCUAUCCACCUGGGGAGUACGUUCGCAAGAAUGAAACUCAAAGGAAUUGACGGGGGCCCGCACAAGCGGAGGAACAUGUGGUUUAAUUCGAUGAUACGCGAGGAACCUUACCCGGGCUUGAAAGUUAGUGACGGAUGCCGAAAGGUGUCUUCCCUUCGGGGCACGAAACUAGGUGCUGCAUGGUUGUCGUCAGCUCGUGCCGUGAGGUGUCGGGUUAAGUCCCAUAACGAGCGCAACCCCUACUGUUAGUUGCCAGCGAGUAAUGUCGGGAACUCUAACAGGACUGCCGGUGUAAGCCGAGAGGAAGGUGGGGAUGACGUCAAAUCAGCACGGCCCUUACGUCCGAGGCGACACACGUGUUACAAUGGUCGGUACAGAGGGCAGCUACCUGGUGACAGGAUGCGAAUCUCGAAAGCCGAUCUCAGUUCGGAUCGGAGGCUGAAACUCGCCUCCGUGAAGUUGGAUUCGCUAGUAAUCGCGCAUCAGCCAUGGCGCGGUGAAUACGUUCCCGGGCCUUAGCAACACCGCCCGUCAAGCCAUGAAAGUUGGGGGUGCUUGAAGUACGUGACCGUAAGGAGC